This is a long non-coding RNA of Tympanuchus pallidicinctus (lesser prairie-chicken), 1255 nucleotides long. RefSeq lists it as uncharacterized. The transcript is spliced from 3 exons. The record is from RefSeq and is a predicted model, not a curated record. NCBI's taxonomy places the organism in Eukaryota, Metazoa, Chordata, Aves, Galliformes, Phasianidae.
AUGUCUGAUGGCUUCCUAAAUGUCCCUUGGACUCUGUUGAGAUUAGUGGGGGAAUGCAGAACAGGUGUCAUAAGGCUGACAUCAAUAGCAUAACAAAACAAAGACAAGUUUUGAAGAAAAGAAGAAAAUGAAUGGAAUGAGGAUGAGUCAAUCUUCCCAAGAGCCCCUAUCUGGGAUGACUAUCAGCAUGACUAUUUGGUACCUGAAGGUGUCAUUAACUCAUCACCUUGUACCAUACUCUUAUUUCUGGAUGUAUGCGGGACAGUCUACAGGAUCUUCUGUCUUAGAAUGAAGAGGCACCUGACGUCUCCUGACAGGAGAAGAAAUGCACUUUCCUGUAAGCUAAGAAAUCAUAUUCAGACCUGUUAAAACAGGAAUAAUACACUUUGUGCAAAUUUUACAUAUUGAAGUAUGCAACAGGGACACAUGGUGAUUCUGUUAUCCUUUAAGAUCUAAACUCUUACAUCUUUUUACUAAGAAAUGUGUAAAUACAAAAGCUAAUGAUCUACAGAUACAAUGAAAGGAUGCCAUGGAUUUUUCCACUAUUUCUGUAUAGGUCACUUGAUGUGACAAUAAAUUGUAAAUGGAUUUCCCUACAUUCACCACAGCUCAAGUCACACAUCUUAGCAGGACAAAAACCUCAGAAUGAUGAAAGAGAAUUCAUUUUAUUACUUCUUGAGCAUAUAGAAAAGUUAAGGCAAGGCACAUUCAGUUGAAAGGUUGUUAAAUGUUUUCUAUUAAAAAUAGUUUUAGGUGAAACUUAUUCCUUGCAGUAUUAAGUUCUUCAGGGAUUUUUUCCCUUUCUUAACCGCAUCCAAAACAAUAGGGAUGAUGGACAGAUAUGUUAUUGCUAAGUGCUAUUACCUUUUUCACAGUAUCCUGAGUAUGUUCCUGUUAUAGAAAUAUAGAAUAAAACUGAGUUCUUGUGUUGAAAUUUGACAUGAAAAUUGCAUUGAAUCAAAAAUGAUUGGAAAAAUAUUCAUUUAAUAAGCCACUUAUUCAUGUUUUCAUUUCAACUGUGUUCAUAUGUUUCAGGAAUCUUUGGAUUAGGAGUCAUUUGGCAUUUUUAUCUUCAGCUUCUAGCAGUCUCCACUUCCUGGAGCUGAUCAAAGUUACUGCUUUCAUUUCUGUUUGAAAUUCAGCAAUGAAGAGACUUUUUGGUAUGAUAACAGUCUUGGACAGAUUAUAAAAAACUGUAAAAUAUUGAUUCUACAAAUUCUGAGUGUCAAAUUUGUUUGAAUUGUCCUUUUAAAGA